AGCGCGUGUAUAGAAGAUAAGAAAUUGCUUC
This 31-nucleotide non-coding RNA is filed under the name Mus musculus (house mouse). The record is from RNAcentral. Lineage: Eukaryota; Metazoa; Chordata; Mammalia; Rodentia; Muridae.